RNAcentral lists this long non-coding RNA (1098 nucleotides) under Fragaria vesca (wild strawberry). Its description in RNAcentral is "long non-coding RNA (FVES_LNC003362)". The record is from RNAcentral. Lineage: Eukaryota; Viridiplantae; Streptophyta; Magnoliopsida; Rosales; Rosaceae.
CGUCGAAAACCUCACAGUAGUAGCUUUUGUAGGCGGUGGUAGUAACUUUUGUAGGCAGUGGUAGUAGCUUUGUAGGCGGUGGUAGUAGUUUUGUGUUCGUCGGAAACCUCACAGUAGUAGCUUUUGUAGGCGGUGGUAGUAGCUUUUGUAGGCGGUGGUAGUAGGUUUUGUGGCUGGUGGUAGUAGCUUUUGUGUUCAUCGGAAACCUCACAGUAGUAGCUUUUGUAGGCGGUGGUAGUAGCUUUUGUAGCUGGUGGUAAUAGCUUUUAUAGUUAGUAGCAGUAAUUUUUGUCAUCGUCGGAGGUCGGCCGGAAACCUCUCCGGAGUUCGGUUGGAAAUCUCGCCAGAGGUCGGCCGGAAACCUCGUCGGAGGGUCGGCCGGAAACCUCACUGGAGGUCGGCCGGAAACCUCGCAGGAAGUCGGCCGGAGACUGUUCCGAAAUGAGAGUGGUUGUUGACUUUUUAUACUAAUGGCAUUCUUGUAAAUAUAAAAGAGAAAAUCUAAUUUUUUUUAUUGGAUGGUAGUCUGUAAUUACGUUGAACUUCAAUACUUAAUACAAAACCUUAUUUAGACUUGGGUGGACUUAUGUGGGUAAAAAUGUUGGGGUGAAUCUAUGUGGGAAAAAAUAUCUCAAAGUGAACUUAUAUGUAAUUGGCCCAAAAGAAUAUAUGUGGUAUGAAGACUUAUUCGUUCAUAUAAAUUUAUUGAAGAAACGUAACAUCGAUAUCUUAAUUGUUAAAGAUACAAGGCAUCGAUCACCUACAUAAACUGACACAGAUUAAUGAGCAUAAGGAUCUUAUAUGGUUUAUAUUAAAAUUGCAACAAGGUAGGAGAGACUUACUAUACUUUGGACAUAUUUCACCUUUGUCGACGUUCAAGAUCUUCUACUCGAUAAUUCGUGCGGAACUUUGCUACACAUUCACACUCACCAACUCCCAAUUCGGCUAUUCUUAUCCGGACGGAUAUGUUGUUGAAGUUUGCUAAAUCCUUCACUGAUUUUAUUAUGAUAAUAUUGUGGGUUUCAAUUUUUGACAUAUAUGAAGGGAAAAUCCAAAUUUCAAACAUUAAUCAAGAUACUGUAUCACUUAUAAAGAUAG